RNAcentral lists this ribosomal RNA (216 nucleotides) under uncultured bacterium. Its description in RNAcentral is "partial 16S ribosomal RNA". It matches the Rfam family "Bacterial small subunit ribosomal RNA", at positions 121 to 334 of the family's 1533-position model. The record is from RNAcentral.
CCAACCUAUCUUUUCGUCCGGGAUAACUAGCCGAAAGGGUUAGCUAAUACCUGAUAAGAUCACCGAGUGGCAUCACAUGGUGAUGAAAGCAGAAAUGCGCGGAUUGAGGGGGCUGCGGCCCAUUAGCUAGUUGGUGAGGUAAUGGCCCACCAAGGCGACGAUGGGUAGCUGGUCUGAGAGGACGACCAGCCACACUGGGACUGAGACACGGCCCAG